This 427-nucleotide ribosomal RNA is filed under the name uncultured bacterium. Its description in RNAcentral is "partial 16S ribosomal RNA". It matches the Rfam family "Bacterial small subunit ribosomal RNA", at positions 355 to 774 of the family's 1533-position model. The record is from RNAcentral.
UGGGGAAUAUUGGACAAUGGGCGAAAGCCUGAUCCAGCCAUGCCGCGUGUGUGAAGAAGGUCUUCGGAUUGUAAAGCACUUUAAGUUGGGAGGAAGGGCAUUAACCUAAUACGUUAGUGUUUUGACGUUACCGACAGAAUAAGCACCGGCUAACUCUGUGCCAGCAGCUGCGGUAAUACAGAGGGUGCAAGCGUUAAUCGGAAUUACUGGGCGUAAAGCGCGCGUAGGUGGUUUGUUAAGUUGGAUGUGAAAUCCCCGGGCUCAACCUGGGAACUGCAUUCAAAACUGACUGACUAGAGUAUGGUAGAGGGUGGUGGAAUUUCCUGUGUAGCGGUGAAAUGCGUAGAUAUAGGAAGGAACGCCAGUGGCGAAGGCGACCACCUGGACUAAUACUGACACUGAGGUGCGAAAGCGUGGGGAGCAAACA